UAUCUCGAAAAUAAAAGAUUUAAAGGGUUUAUUUUAGUUUUUGUUUCAAAAAAAUUGGAUAAAAUUCUUUAGGGGUGAGAUACCAAUCGAUUUUAUUAAUAUCUAGUAAUUUCAGAAAUAAAUUUAGUUUAGAAUAUUGGGAGAUUCUUAACUUCAAUAUAUUUUUAGGCUUUAGGGGAUGAGCUCUAAAGGCAAUUUAUAAGAGUAGAAUUUAAGUAGUUCUUUGUUAAGCUUAGAAUUAGCUAUAAGAUAGUGUUUUAAGAUAAGAGUUAAGGCAUAAAAUUUUGUUUUCUUUUAUUUAAAUGAAGUUAUUAAAGAAAUUGAGUUUUUUAGGAAAAAAUGAUAAUAUUAGUAGAGAUUAAUUUAAAUUUUUCUUUAAUUAUUUUUAUAAGAAUUAUAGUAAAAGAAUUCGGCAAAUGGGAUUUCCGAAUGUUUAACAAAAACAUUUCCUCUUAGAAUAUGAGGUAAGGCCUGCUCACUGAGUAGUUGAAGAGCCGCAGUAUAUUGACUGUGCUAAGGUAGCAUAAUCAUUAGUCUUUUAAUUGGGGACUGGUAUGAAUGGCUAAACGAGAGAUCAACUUUUUUUAUUAUACAUGUUGAAUUUAACUUUUUAGUGAAAAGGCUAAAGUUUAUCAGAAAGACGAGAAGACCCUAUAGAGUUUUAUAUACAAAGGAUUAAUGUUUGAAUAGGUUUCUGUGGAUAUGGGUUUGUAGUAUAUUUUGUUGGGGCGACAUUAAGAUAAGAAAAACUCUUUAUUUUUUAAACUUUAAUGGAAGAAUGGGUUGAUCCUCUAUAAGAGAUCAAAAGAAAAAAUUACCUUAGGGAUAACAGCGUAAUCUUUUUUGAGAGUUCUAAUCGACAAAAAGGUUUGCGACCU
RNAcentral lists this ribosomal RNA (878 nucleotides) under Pachylasma sp. 1 BKKC-2017. Its description in RNAcentral is "partial 16S ribosomal RNA". It matches the Rfam family "Bacterial large subunit ribosomal RNA", at positions 741 to 2526 of the family's 2925-position model. The record is from RNAcentral. Lineage: Eukaryota; Metazoa; Arthropoda; Thecostraca; Balanomorpha; Pachylasmatidae.